GGAAAAUACCGCAAGAAACCAAACAUAGCAGAGACAGUGAGUGGAAGCCAAAGAAUAAGAGGGGGAGAAAAGAAAUGACGACGGAGGGAGAGGUGGUUUGCGUCACCGGAGGAAGCGGUUGCAUCGGUUCUUGGUUGGUACGUCUCCUUCUCGAACGCGGCUACACCGUUCACGCCACCGUCAAAAAUCUCAAGGAUGAGAAAGAAACGAAGCAUCUACAAGCCAUGGAAGGAGCAGACUUGCGUCUUCGUCUUUACCAAAUCGACCUCCUUGUCUAUGACUCCAUUCUCGCCGCUAUCGACGGCUGUGCAGGCGUAUUCCACCUGGCCUCUCCCUGCAUCGUUGAUAAAGUCCAAGAUCCUCAAAAGGAGCUUCUGGAUCCAGCAAUUAAAGGGACCCAGAAUGUACUUAUGGCGGCCAAGGAGAAAGGGGUGGGGCGCGUGGUGGUCACGUCAUCCAUAUCUGCUAUAACGCCGAGCCCUCAGUGGCCAGCAGACGUUGUCAAGGCAGAGGAUUGCUGGACAGAUAUUGACUACUGCAAGCAAAAUGAAUUAUGGUAUCCACUGUCCAAAACACUGGCUGAGAAAGUUGCAUGGGAAUUUUCCAAGGAGAAAGGUUUGGAUGUGGUGGUGGUAAACCCUGGUACGGUGAUGGGCCCUGUUAUCCCACCAACCCUGAAUGCAAG
This 685-nucleotide unclassified non-coding RNA is filed under the name Hevea brasiliensis (rubber tree). Lineage: Eukaryota; Viridiplantae; Streptophyta; Magnoliopsida; Malpighiales; Euphorbiaceae. The record is from RNAcentral.